This 31-nucleotide non-coding RNA is filed under the name Homo sapiens (human). The record is from RNAcentral. Lineage: Eukaryota; Metazoa; Chordata; Mammalia; Primates; Hominidae.
UCCUCACUUUCCAGACGGGGCAGCCAGGCAU